This 438-nucleotide ribosomal RNA is filed under the name uncultured bacterium. Its description in RNAcentral is "bacterial SSU rRNA". It matches the Rfam family "Bacterial small subunit ribosomal RNA", at positions 339 to 794 of the family's 1533-position model. The record is from RNAcentral.
GUACGGGAGGCAGCAGUGGGGAAUUUUGCGCAAUGGGCGAAAGCCUGACGCAGCAACGCCGCGUGCGGGAUGAAGGCCUUCGGGUUGUAAACCGCUUUCAGCAGGGACGAACGUGACGGUACCUGCAGAAGAAGCCCCGGCUAACUACGUGCCAGCAGCCGCGGUAAUACGUAGGGGGCAAGCGUUAUCCGGAUUCAUUGGGCGUAAAGCGCGCGUAGGCGGCUUGUUAAGUCAGAUGUGAAAACCGGGGGCUCAACCCGCGGCCUGCAUCUGAAACUGGCAGGCUUGAGUCUGGUAGAGGAAAGUGGAAUUCCUGGUGUAGCGGUGAAAUGCGCAGAUAUCAGGAGGAACACCAGUGGCGAAGGCGGCUUUCUGGGCCACGACUGACGCUGAGGCGCGAAAGCUAGGGGAGCGAACAGGAUUAGAUACCCUGGUAGA